ACUUACAGCCAUACCACCCUGAACACGCCCGAUCUCGUCCGCUCUCGCAAGCUAAGCAGGGUCGGGCCUGGUUAGUACUUGGAAGGGAGACCGCCUGGUGUUGUAAGCU
RNAcentral lists this ribosomal RNA (109 nucleotides) under Labrus bergylta (ballan wrasse). Lineage: Eukaryota; Metazoa; Chordata; Actinopteri; Labriformes; Labridae. The record is from RNAcentral.